GAGGAAUAUUGGACAAUGGGUGCAAGCCUGAUCCAGCCAUCCCGCGUGAAGGAAUAAGGACCUAUGGUUUGUAAACUUCUUUUGUACAGGGAUAAACCUAGAUACGAGUAUCUAGCUGAAGGUACUGUACGAAUAAGCACCGGCUAACUCCGUGCCAGCAGCCGCGGUAAUACGGAGGGUGCAAGCGUUAUCCGGAUUUAUUGGGUUUAAAGGGUCCGUAGGCGGACUGGUAAGUCAGCGGUGAAAUCUCAUAGCUUAACUAUGAAACUGCCGUUGAUACUGUCAGUCUUGAGUGUAGUUGAAGUAGCUGGAAUGAGUAGUGUAGCGGUGAAAUGCAUAGAUAUUACUCAGAACACCAAUUGCGAAGGCAGGUUACUAAGUUACAACUGACGCUGAUGGACGAAAGCGUGGGUAGCGAAC
This 420-nucleotide ribosomal RNA is filed under the name uncultured bacterium. Its description in RNAcentral is "bacterial SSU rRNA". It matches the Rfam family "Bacterial small subunit ribosomal RNA", at positions 356 to 773 of the family's 1533-position model. The record is from RNAcentral.